This 560-nucleotide ribosomal RNA is filed under the name uncultured eukaryote. RNAcentral describes it as "partial 18S rRNA". The record is from RNAcentral.
CACUAAGACCAACUAGGACGGUCAUCAGUAUACGAACAGAGUUUCUAAUUCGGUACGUACAGAUUCAUAUUUGACGAAUAUGACACUUUGACGCUUACCGAGUAAUUUAGUCAAUAUCAAAUAAACUACCAUGGAAAUGAGCCUAUUGGCAUCAUUAAGAUCUCGAUUAUGCACGCAUUUAGGGCUGAAGACCUUCCCUGCAUAAAUAAUCUAUUUUCCGGUCGGCCCGAACGGGCUGAGAACCGCUUAGUACUAUUGAAGUGCUUAGCGUGCCGAAGCCGGCCGCUACAAAGUAAGUUUAAAGACGGGAUAGUUGAAAGCUACCAUCCUAUCUCCGGAUGGUACCACCAUUGCCCACUGCCUCCUAAUCCCAAGCUAAGGCCUCUCCCUCGGACUCUUUGCCGAUGGUGUAGGUUCCUUCCGUCGUCCGCGCGUUUAAUGGGUUAGGGCUGUGCCCCUCCAUCACUGUUAUUUAUUGUUAUGGCCCGUAAAAACAGACCAUUAACCUUACUCAUGUUAGAUUUAGGGAAUUGCUCAUAGGUAACCUCCCGUUCAGACCA